CAUGCAAGUCGAGGGGUAUAGUUCUUCGGAGCUAGAGACCGGCGCACGGGUGCGUAACGCGUAUGCAAUCUACCUUUUACAGAGGGAUAGCCCAGAGAAAUUUGGAUUAAUACCUCAUAGCAUUAUGAUAUGGCAUCGUAUUAUAAUUAAAGUUCCAACGGUAAAAGAUGAGCAUGCGUCCCAUUAGCUAGUUGGUGUGGUAACGGCACACCAAGGCUACGAUGGGUAGGGGUCCUGAGAGGGAGAUCCCCCACACUGGUACUGAGACACGGACCAGACUCCUACGGGAGGCAGCAGUGAGGAAUAUUGGACAAUGGGCGCAAGCCUGAUCCAGCCAUGCCGCGUGCAGGAUGAAGCAUCUAUGGUGUGUAAACUGCUUUUGUACAGGAAGAAACCCUCCCACGUGUGGGAGAUUGACGGUACUGUAAGAAUAAGGAUCGGCUAACUCCGUGCCAGCAGCCGCGGUAAUACGGAGGAUCCAAGCGUUAUCCGGAAUCAUUGGGUUUAAAGGGUCCGUAGGCGGCCUUAUAAGUCAGUGGUGAAAUCUCUCGGCUCAACCGGGAAAUGGCCAUUGAUACUGUAGGGCUUGAAUUAUUAGGAAGUAACUAGAAUAUGUAGUGUAGCGGUGAAAUGCUUAGAGAUUACAUGGAAUACCAAUUGCGAAGGCAGGUUACUACUAAUGGAUUGACGCUGAUGGACGAAAGCGUGGGUAGCGAACAGGAUUAGAUACCCUGGUAGUCCACGCCGUAAACGAUGGAUACUAGCUGUUGGGAGCAAUCUCAGUGGCUAAGCGAAAGUGAUAAGUAUCCCACCUGGGGAGUACGUUCGCAAGAAUGAAACUCAAAGGAAUUGACGGGGGCCCGCACAAGCGGUGGAGCAUGUGGUUUAAUUCGAUGAUACGCGAGGAACCU
This 911-nucleotide ribosomal RNA is filed under the name uncultured Flavobacteriaceae bacterium. Its description in RNAcentral is "bacterial SSU rRNA". It matches the Rfam family "Bacterial small subunit ribosomal RNA", at positions 54 to 971 of the family's 1533-position model. Lineage: Bacteria; Pseudomonadati; Bacteroidota; Flavobacteriia; Flavobacteriales; Flavobacteriaceae. The record is from RNAcentral.